RNAcentral lists this transfer RNA (77 nucleotides) under Gammaproteobacteria bacterium. RNAcentral describes it as "tRNA-Phe". It matches the Rfam family "tRNA". Rfam says of the family: Transfer RNA (tRNA) molecules are approximately 80 nucleotides in length. The record is from RNAcentral. Lineage: Bacteria; Pseudomonadati; Pseudomonadota; Gammaproteobacteria.
GCAGCGAUAGCUCCAAGUAGUAGAGCGCUUGGUUGAAGCCCAAGGCGGUGGAGGUGCAAGUCCUUCUCGCUGCGCCA